Pangasianodon hypophthalmus (striped catfish) is the source of this 7215-nucleotide long non-coding RNA. RefSeq lists it as uncharacterized. NCBI's taxonomy places the organism in Eukaryota, Metazoa, Chordata, Actinopteri, Siluriformes, Pangasiidae. The transcript is spliced from 5 exons. The record is from RefSeq and is a predicted model, not a curated record.
CUAAUAAUGUUGCAACAUUGAAAGGAAAAUAUACAGUCGAUCUCUUGACCCUUUUUGAAUUUGCAUUGGUCUGGUUUUAGUUUGUUCCACAGCGUUUUCAUUACGGCGCGUCUGUGUGCGAUGGUUGUAAUCAACAGCCACAGACAGUAAAGUGGGAAAACCUAAAUGUGACGUCAAUGCCUAGUAACUGACGCAGCCUCCAACAGGAAAAAAGACUGACUGCAAGGCUUAAUUAUCAUCUUUUGUAUACUGUUUUAUACAUACUGCUGUUACUGUUUACUGUCAUAUAUGUAGACCUAUAUAUAAAAGCGUUGAAGUCGUAGUGUAGAGCUGAUUUUUUUUUGUGUCUCGCUUUCUUUCGCGCGCGCUCUCUCCCUCUCUCUUGAGCAGCGAAUCCGUCCUGAGUUUCCAAGCGAAAGUUGCAUGGAGACACACAGCGUAAGACGCGUGUAAUGAAGAGAAUGGUGAGAGAGGGAGAGAUAAAAGAGAAGGAAAGCGGGAACAAACUCAUACCAAGCGAGAUCACAGCAGAUCUCCACCGAUGAGUUUACGAGUUGUUUUAGGCAACAGAAAAAAGGGCAUCGGGGCAGUAUUGUAACCAAAAACCACUGCAUCGAUGCAACAGAACCGACUCGGAGCCCGUGCACGGAGUUGGAGAGGCAGAAAUUAAUGUACAUUGCAUGCACUCCACGUAACGCUCCGGAGCGAUGCCUUUGUGAGUGUUUUUUUUUUUCGUACUGCGAGCUAAAAAUAGCAGCAGUGUUUGAUCGCGCUCCAGAAAUAGGCAGUGGGGUAACACAAGUAUAAAAAGGACUGCAAUUCUGAGAAACCUUGGACAUUGCUGAGCAAGGGCUCGCUGCAUAGGUAAGUACAUGUGCAAAGCGGUGUUCGAUUCAGUGUACUUCUUGUGUUUGAUUAUUGCAACGGGGUUUGGUGCAUGCAUGGUGUUGGGUUAUACAGAAGCCAUUCACGCCACAGAGCAGAAACGACGCAGGGGUAAACAACAUUUGUACCACCUGCAUGGACUUCAUCCAAGCUUUGAUUGUAACUUCAUGUUUGUUUUUUUCUCUCAGCUUCAUGGAAAUUUAAACGCCAUCUCUCUCUCUCGAGCAGGAAUCUCACAAACCGUAAAUAUGACAACCAAAAAAAAAAAAGCAAGACCAAACUCAUUUGUCUGACGGCGCUGUUGAGCCAUUUUACGCUUUCUGUCUUCGCUACAACUGAAAGUUCGCGAAUGGAAAUCCCUACCAUCAGAAGAACACCGGGUGAUGUUGGUUUAAUAAAUGAAGAGGACACUAGAUGAAAGCAUGCAUGGGAAAGAAGGAGUGCCAUGAGGCGCUGGAGGAGCGCUGCGCCGGAGCCGAUCAGAGGGGAACCCACAGGCUGCACAGUUGGGCUGAAAAUACAAUGUGGCGUCAAGGGGAGCCUGUGCUCCUGCUCGACCUGCACCAAAAUUACCCUCAACUAGGCAUAUCUUUUUGAAUCCCACCCGCAGAUGGACGCAGCAGUGCAAGUAGUCUGCUUUCCCCGAGUCAUUCGAAAUGCAUCCUUAAGUUUUGUACUCAUAAGUCCGCAUGACAGUUUUCCCGCCUGCUUGGUUCGUCCAAUUCAGUUUGCAGUUAGAAGCUAUAGAUAAUAUGGCAAUAGGCGGGCUGACUUGGAUUACUCUUCCGCCCACGUCAUUUUCAUUAUACACCGCUGCAACAGACUGUUUUUUUUUUUCGUUGCUAUGAACUGAAAUACUGCUCUGGUGCUGGCACAUAUGCAUUCACUUUGUAUGUAUUAGUGUUAUUUACAGAGUAUCACCAGCAAUCACAAAACUGCGUCUGCCACUACUCCUGACAGAUUUGUAACUCCAAGUCUGCAGCACACAGACUUCGCUGAAAUUUGGCACAAAUCUGUCCAAGUGCGUGCUUUAGAGUGAGAAUACUUGCGCGUAAGAAACAACAGUUGGUAGACGCCGCUGUCAUGAUCUAUCGCGCCACAGAGCACUAUUACACUGUAACAAUGUAGCUCGUAAGAGUCGACUUGGAUAGCAGAUCUCAGGUUUCUACGAGACGUGCAGCGUUUUCUACCCGGGUAUCCCUUAUCCUAGUUAUAUUUGUUGAAUACCUACCAAGAUACAUCAUCCAAAUGAAAUUGAUACUGAAAUUGGCAAAUUGGUGCUCUCAGGAAUGUAAACUCGUAUUUAGUGAGCACUGUUUGCUGACAUGGGAAACGAAAAAAAACCAAAACAAAACGAUGCUGAUAACCUUGACCUCAAAGACCAUGUGGCUUUCUUUGUUAAACGCACCCAGUCCAGACAUGCCAAGAUCUUCUUAAAUAAUGCAAUACUGGCGGUGUAAUUUUGGUGGCAAAACAGAUUUCUCCGAGUCGUGACUGCUAUAGUGAGUAAUAUGGGCGCGUUGGCUGCGUCAGGAGAUGCAGUCGCUGUGCGCUGCAGACGGAAGGGGGAGAAUCGUGACUGACUGCUGGAGACGUCCGCAGACGAAACGACCACCCAAUAAAAUCCUCUUAAUGGCAUCUGGGCAAGAUAUUUACACAUGUUAUCUCUCUAGCCCUUUACUCUUUGCGUUGAGCCACCUCAACCCCCCCUUGCACCACCGAAGACAUGAGAAGAAUAUCUGUGGAUCUUGGUUUGGGAUGAGUUCCGACUGGCGUGUGUGUGUGUGUAUGUAUGUGUGAGUGUGUGUGUGUGAGAGAGAGAAAGAGAGAGAGAGAAAGAGAGAGAGAGAGAGGGUGUGUGUGUGUGUGUGUGUGUGUGUUUGUGUGUGUGUGUGUAUACCGGGCGGGGAGGGGGGUCCAGAUAUAGAUCGUGACCCUCCCACCUAGUACAGUUUCUUGCAUAUAGUUCCAAAAAGGGAUUGCCAGAGACUUUGUGGUGCAUUUUGACAAAUGAUUACUAUGUGGAAUAUAGGAACAGGAAUUCUCUGGGUUUAGAAAAACCUCUGGAAGGAAUCUAGACGUACAGAUGCCUCAGCGUCUUCUUCCGUGCUGCCCCAUGCCCAUUGUUCACCUUGGCCUCUAUGGUGAAACCUGGAGGUCUGAAGAUUCACAAAGUCAUCUGAGGCACUACAUUCAAGUUUCUGCUUUCAUCAGCAGUAAAUGGAAGUCAUUUAAGAAAAUCCACAAGAAGAUGGAUCUGCCUCGUGCAAUCUGUUUAUCUCGGUUCCAUAUGUCAAGAGGCCAUUUCUGCAGCUUAAUCAAGGAACAAGAUGACAGAGUCUUAACAGAUAUUUAAACUUCUGCUUCUAAAAGCUCUGAUAUGCUUGGAUAUCUCUAACUGGUAAUUGGUGGACAUUGUAGUCUUUAUCGUUUUAUGGAAAUUUGAUCAUGUUUGGUGCCAUGUCAAUUUAGAGAGACUAGGAGAGAGGGCCUACCAGGUUUUAAUCUAGAGCAUAUAACAAAAAAUGAAAGAUUAAAUAAAUACAUGCAGAGUUGCUUAAAGCUAUUUUUAGGGUUUUGUUUCUUAUUUCUCAUAUAUUUACAACUGUUGAAAGGUGACAGUUUCACACACACUGUAAGCCCAUUAUUUGAAUAUGUCAGCAAGUUCUGUUGUACUACAAACUGUUAAAAGGGCUCUGCUAAAACUUGUAUUAAGGGGUGUAUUAAUAGAAAAGUGUGGUUUUAGGGCAAUUGGACUGUGUGAUUAUAUGGUAGAUGAAGGACAACGUGGCCAUCAUGAGCAGCCAUUUCAAUAAAUGGAGAAUGCCAGAAGUGACUGUUAUUGCAUGUGUGAGAGAUUUAGUAUGUUAAGGCAUACGUUUGAGCACGAAGGUGUGCACCCAUAUAUAGUGUGUAUAAGUGUCUGUGGAAGUGUGCCUGUAAAAGAGACGAUGUGCAUGUGCCCGUGUCUGGGUUUGUCUGCUAGUUUUGGUCAUAGAAUAUAAGUCCCUGUGUACAAGGAAAAGAUCAUAUAGUAAGGUUACCACACGAGUGUGCCAACAAUUACGUGUGUGUGUGUGUGUGUGUGUGUGUGUGUUUCUCUUGGUGUCUGUAUUGGCCGUUGCAUCACCGACAAAGUUUGGAGUUGAAUGUGUUCAGGAUCUGUGGGAUUUAAAACAUUUUAAAUAUACAUACAUUUUAAAUGUAUUUUACUUGAUAUUUUAUUUGUAUUGGAAUAAGACUGACUCUCAUAAUGUAGAAAUAUGUGCAUUUACCAUGGUGUCUUUCUGCUUGUCCAGAGCAGAUUUGUGAUUUUAGGCGUUUUCAUCAGCUUGUCAUUUGCAGUGUUUAUAAACACUGACACUGGCAUAACAUAGUGAUCAGUGUAUUUCCAUUACAUAGGUUAGAGGAAACGUAAAUAUGUAUGACCAUGUGACUGUACAUUUAAGUUGACCCUUAUAAGCAAUCAGUGUUUAUAUUUAUCAAUACUGAGUUGUUAAAAAUAUUUUAAUGCUAAUGUUUUAUUCGUAAACUAAGUGUAAGAUGUCCCCAUGUUCAAAAUAAUGUAUUGUGAUUAUUUAUUAUAUAAAUAUAUAUGGACGCAUGUGCUGUGUGUGUGUGUGUGUAUAGGCCUGAAUGUGUGUGAAGUUUGCUGUAUUUGUGAUUUACAUGAGAAGAUGCAGAAUUCUUCUCUGAGUGUGUAUGCGGGUUAUCAUGACUCAGUAUGUAUACUGUAAUAUAAGGAGACUGUAAGGUGCUUGCAUACAGAAGUUCAGGUAAAGACAAACAGUACUCUUAGGAAUUUUUCUGAUUAUGUAACUGCAGUUUUAUGUGUAAAAUGUAGUGUCGUAUAUAUUUUUGUAGACGUAUAAGUUUUGCUGUAAUAUGUGAAAAUAUGAGCUAAUCAUUAUUGCUUGUACGGUUAAUAUCUUUAAAUGUAAAAUGGAAGGAAAUAUUAUUUUAUAUAUUAUUGCAACCUGUGGGCGUUCUUAAAGAUGAUGUGCAAUGUUCUAUAUGUGUGUGUGUAUGCAUAUGUAUCUGUCUCUUUGUGUGUGUGUGUGCAUAUAUGUCUGUGUUUGUUUGUUGCUGGAAAAAAAAUCACUGGAAUAAUAUAACAUAAUUGUCUAUUAUUUGCUGGUGUUGUUAUCGACGUUUAAUUAUUCCUUUGUAUGUGUUUGGUUUUCUUUGCAUCAGAAAUCUUCUUUGCACCAUGCUGAACAAAAUCCUGUGGUUGUGUAUCUGCAGAAAGCUAAAAGUGAGGAUAUAAGCAGGUACGUCCAGCAUUAUCAGGAUCAGGAGCCUCUGACUCUAUAUAUAAUUUUGCCACUACAAUCAGCAGUGCUAUGAAAGCAUGACUGUACAGAAAUACUCAACAUGUAAUAUGUACACAUUUGUUUCUAAUUAUAGGUAUUAAACAAUUACAGCCUGGUAUGUAGAACGUGAUGUUUAUAUUUUGAUGUGAAAUGUGAAAUUAUAAGCAGAUAAUCAGGCUAUUUAUUGUUCUGUUUAUUUGUUUUAUUCAUGAAAUGAGACGUUAUAAUUCACAAAUGUGAUAUUUUUCAAGUUGUAAAGAGCAAACAAUCUUUUGACUUUGCAAUUGUCAUUUUUUCAUCUGUUUGUACAGAUGACCGUCAUGAACACGUGCACAGGGAUUUGGAUAACUGCACUGAAAUUCAUUUAGGACUGUUCUAUACUCGUCCAGGGCAGCUGGUUAAUUAAGGACCAAUUUGACACCGUCAGGUAUUUAAGUCUCUGUCUCUAUAGGGCUUGCGUUUGGAGCAGCAUGCAGACAUUGAGAACAUUGCCAUUUCCCGUCGUUUCUUGAUGCAUAUGAUGUGUGUGGUAUUUUAAAAAAAUAAUAGGAAUAAAAACAAAAAAGCAGAAUAAGGUAAUGACCAAGACGUAUGCUGAUCUAAGCUCUGGAGGAUGAAGUAAAACAUUGACAUUCUGAAUUUGGCUUAUAGAGCACGACUCUGUGUGUGUGUGUGUGUGUGUGUGUGUGUGUGUGUGUGUGUGUGUGUGUGUGUGUGUGUGUUCGUCUGUAAGUAGUGUGGCAGGGACAAUAUUGAGUGGUAGGAUGCAGGGUCUCAAACGUUAUCCUAGAGGACAAUAAGUGUUUUCUGUGCAAAGGUGUUAAUGGCUGUGGUAGGACGAUGCUUACAAAAAUAAGUCUUUGUUGCUGUAGACUAAAUGUCAUGGCAAUACUGAAUCUAGAGAAUUUAUAAGAUGUAAUCCAUGCAAAAGUGGUUCGUUAGACCUGAAUACAUGGCUAUUUUGAGGACUUUUGUCUGAAAGGAUAGACAAGAAGUCACAAGUCACGUUUCUGGGUUAAUGUUGAGAAGGUCGCUGUCCACUGCAAAGGUGCUGAUAACAAAAACCUGCACACAGACAUUAUAUUUCAGUGCGUUCUUGUCAAACUAUACGUUAGGUAAAUUGUCUAUAAUUGUUUUAUUGCUUACUACAGGCUGUAGUGAUGUUAAGGUGUGAUACAGACACACUGUACGUUGUAGUCCUAACAAUGUGCACGACUUAAAAUCAAUUACAUCCUCAGGCAUAGUGUCCAAAAAAGAAUUUCAUCGAGAGGCACGUAGACAAUUGCAGAGGUAAUGCACAAAAGAGUCAGAAAGCAGGAGAAAGGUGAGAACUGGGAAUACAUCGAUACUGCAGGUGGGGUGAGAGUAGCUCAGGGCGAGGAUGUGUGUGUAUGUGUGUGUGUGUGUGUGUGUGUGUGUGCAUGUACCCUUUGGGUGGAGUAUCUGUAAAAUACUGAAUAAGAAUGACUUUCUUUAACAAAAAAAUAAGCAAGAGGCAAUCUUUGGAACAAAGCCAAGUCUGUACGUCUGAACACACACUAUAAUCCACACUGUAAUCCAAACCUCAGCUGUAGUAUCAGUGUCUCUGACAAUAUGAGAGGAUAUUUUGCUUAAUAUAUACAUAUAUAUUAAUGUAUAGGCAAUAUAGCCAAUGUACUGAUCUAUUACAUAAUAUGAGGCUGAAAAUUGCGCUGUUCAAACGCUGGAAUUGUAAAAUGCAAUAAUUUCUGUAUCAGUGUUGCUGUUCUUUGUAUCUUACAUGUGCAAAGCAGAGGAAAUUCUAACACUCCUGUCGUGCAAGUCGUGUAGUCUGUGAGAUAAUGUCCUGUUUGUUGGGGUGCGUGCAUUACAAAUUUGGAUCCAGAGAUAUAUGCUGUAUUAUAUAUUUUAAGGUUUUGGUUUUAAUGUAUUUUGGCAUAGUGGUAUUGUAUCAUUUGUCAUUAUUUAAUAUCUUUAUUUCUUGUUUUGCUGUCAUGUUUGAGUUCAAAUAAAUAAAGCUUGUUUUGAAUUGUGCACA